CUUGAUCAUGAUGAUCAUCUUUUAUUUAAUGGAGAAAGAAACCAAUAUUUGCAGCAGGACAGGCUAUCACCACAGUUCAAUGAUUUAGUUAAGACAAUGAAAUAGAAGAACUUCAUGCUAACACUUGCAUCAGUGGAAGUACUUCUUAUUGGAUAGAGAACUUUUCAAGGUCAGACAUCAGCUUUUGAAGUUGCUUUUUUGGCACAUCAUGCUGUCCAGUGGAGUUCAUACCAUAUGCCAGGCCUUUAUACAUGGCCAAAGAAGAUGAAUUUGUUAUUCAGUGUGUGAAAUUUGAUUAAAGAGGACUUUCAUAUAUGAUGAUUAUAUUCAGCAGAUUAUCUUCAAGUGUGCACUUUAUA
This is a long non-coding RNA of Mercenaria mercenaria, 359 nucleotides long. RefSeq lists it as uncharacterized. The transcript is spliced from 3 exons. The record is from RefSeq and is a predicted model, not a curated record. NCBI's taxonomy places the organism in Eukaryota, Metazoa, Mollusca, Bivalvia, Venerida, Veneridae.